AUCCAGAUGACGAGUCCCAAAUAGGACGAAACGCGGGUCCUAGAU
RNAcentral lists this non-coding RNA (45 nucleotides) under Schistosoma margrebowiei. The record is from RNAcentral. Lineage: Eukaryota; Metazoa; Platyhelminthes; Trematoda; Strigeidida; Schistosomatidae.